GUGCUCGCUUUGGCAGCACAUAUACUAAAAUUGGAACGAUACAGAGAAGGUUAGCAUGGCCCCUGCACAAGGAUGACACACAAAUUCCUGAAGUGUUCCAUAUUAAA
RNAcentral lists this small nuclear RNA (107 nucleotides) under Sciurus vulgaris (Eurasian red squirrel). Lineage: Eukaryota; Metazoa; Chordata; Mammalia; Rodentia; Sciuridae. The record is from RNAcentral.